This 77-nucleotide transfer RNA is filed under the name Gammaproteobacteria bacterium. RNAcentral's name for it is "tRNA-Leu". The record is from RNAcentral. Lineage: Bacteria; Pseudomonadati; Pseudomonadota; Gammaproteobacteria.
GCGGAUCUGACGGGAACGGUAUACCUCGGCGGCUUAAACCCGCUGGCGUCCCGGUUCGAGUCCGGGGGUCCGCACCA